AUUAGCCCAUGUUUUUUUUAGAACAAGCCCAUGUUUUUCUAUAUAAAAAUUUUCUGUAAUGAUUUUCAAAACUUAUAAUGAACCUUUUUCCUUCCACUGUAAGCCAGCCCAAGUGCAGCCCAACUAAGCAGAGGCUUAGAAUCUUUGAUCCAAACACCGAACAGGCCGAGCAUGGUGGAUCGAGCCCAGAACUGGCAUGUUUGCGCGGGCGAGCGAGCCGCCGACUUGAGGAUCGAAGCGCUAGUCCCAGCUCAUCGUGCUCUGCUCGCGCGCGCGCACGAUCGUCGGAACUGAUCCCCCGCCCUCGCCUGAAUAUUGGACUAGAUCCGCCGCUAGAGCUAGAGGCUCGCGUCGCUCGCGGUUUUGCGGCCUACUGGAGCGUUGCCUGGCAUGGCAGCUGGCGGCAGCCCUAAUGGUGCGCGCCGUGAUGCCGACGCCAUGUUCGACGAAAUGCCGCACCGCACCGCACCCCAGAGGACGGGACGGCGCGGAAUUAAAAAUUCGUCCCCUCGCUUGCAGUUGCAGGUGUUGUACUCCGGUUCCGGGGUGCGUUGAGGGCAGGUCGCGAUGCCUCGGCGAACAAGGGCAUGCUACUCGCGUUUUUUGUACGCACGGUACAGAGUUCCAGGGCUGGCUGCAAGGGAGAGUGGGCCUUUCAUGGUCGAGAUAGUAUGUCUGUCCAAGUAAGAAGCUCUACAUGUCACUGGAUCCCUUUCUACGGAGCUUGUCUCAAUUAUCAUAAGAGAGGGAAGCAAACUGAGAUACUACAAUGCUACCCUGAGUCAACCCUACAAUGCCAUAAAUUUUCUUGUCAGAUCAUACUGGCAAGAGCUAGUAAACUCAUCUUUGCAAGUACUCCAGUAAGAAUUGAAAUAAAGAUGCAAUAGGGUUAUAAAAGCUUGGUUGUUUUUGGGUGAGAUGUCAUUUCACAUCAAAUUGGAGUUAAUGGACUGCUGGAUUUCAUUGAAGAGCAAAGGGCAUUGAACCGCAGGCUGCAAAGAUAUGUGUAUCUAUGGAAUCCUUUCUAGCAGCUGCGGUGUAAAUUGCGUCAAUAAAGGGGCGUUCAAGAUGUUAACACUGCACAGAGCUGUUGCCAACAGCACCGUGGCGUAAGAUGCUCACAUGUAUUGGCAACUUUGCCAUGAAUACAUGGGGAGGAACCACAAAGGGAAGUAAAAUUGGCCUCGCUAAUAUGACUGAAAAAAACUUGUAUCUUCUCUUAUAAUGAUUUACCUUCUUUUACAAAAGGAUUUUUGAGUAUUUCUCAAUAGGUGACUUUUUAUGAUCGCCAGCCUAGCUAGCUAGAACCAUGCUGCAAGAUCACAGGGAGUGGAAGCAAGACAUGAAUAGAAGUUAAGAAGUGGAAGGGGGAGAAGAGGAGGGAGGGAGGGUCAUUGCUGUUUUGCAUUAAUACCAAGUAAAGAGAAGCAUUGACCUCUCUCCUACUUGACACGGCUAUAUAAAGACCCUUGGACCUUUCAAAGUCCGCAACCAAACACAUCAAAGCUCUCAUCUAUCUCUCUUUCUCCCCUGCCCUGAUCCCCUCUUCCCAAGC
This is a long non-coding RNA of Brachypodium distachyon (stiff brome), 1555 nucleotides long. RefSeq lists it as uncharacterized. Lineage: Eukaryota; Viridiplantae; Streptophyta; Magnoliopsida; Poales; Poaceae. The transcript has 5 exons. The record is from RefSeq and is a predicted model, not a curated record.